Peromyscus maniculatus bairdii (prairie deer mouse) is the source of this 279-nucleotide non-coding RNA. The record is from RefSeq and is a predicted model, not a curated record. NCBI's taxonomy places the organism in Eukaryota, Metazoa, Chordata, Mammalia, Rodentia, Cricetidae.
GGACAGUCUCUCAGGAGCCUGGGACUCUCCACCUAGACCAGGCUGGACAGGAAGCCCCAGGAUCUUACCUGUCUCCAUUGCAAGCAUGUUCCAUGGUUGUUCUGUUCACGUAUCACAGGCGCCGUAAGAAACCGGAUCCCCCCAAAGACAGGUGACGACUCUCGAUCUUCCAAGCAUCGAGGAAAUUUUGCUUUUGUCUCAUUUGCCAACUGAGAAAAUGCAAAUGGUGUGUUUAUUAAGAUGUUCUGUAAGAAAAUAAUAAAAACACCCUUUCAUAGA